UUCCUGCUCUUAGCCAUUAACUAGACUAGUCCUAUAGCAAUGGCAAUGAUAGUGAAUUAUUCAUUUUAUUCUAGGAAAGGAAGAGUGCCAGGCAGGAGGUGAAAAUAGAAAAUAAGAAGUUAUUCCACAAGCAGCUGAACUAAAGCAGCCUUGGUACCUGGGUACAGCAUUCCUGUACCUUCUCCUGUGCACCCAUCACAUAAAGCCAUAGUUCUGCUCCUACGCCGCUCACGUGCCACCCCAAGCCCCAUGACUAUGAGAGAUAUUUCUAGUGCUACCAUGGUAUCUAAACUCAUCGGAGAAACUGCAUGAAGUUGUUGCUACCUUGUGGCACUCCAUAGUCGAUCUCGGCCAUAUUUCCUCCAAGCAGGUUGGCAGCCAUUUGAAAUGGCUGUGACAUAACGCUGGAGCAGUCCUGAAAAUAGCUUGGUUUCACCCCAAACCGCAGAACCCUGG
Molecule: long non-coding RNA, 456 nt
Filed under: Manacus vitellinus (golden-collared manakin)
Lineage: Eukaryota; Metazoa; Chordata; Aves; Passeriformes; Pipridae
Description: lncRNA (ENSMVIG00005001620.1)
Source: RNAcentral